UUGCUGUAAAUUUUUGGCUUAGGUCAGAGUAGUUGGAGUAGGUCGAGGUCCGAUGAAGAUUAUGGCUAUUGGUCUUGCAAAAGAAGUUCCUGAUCGGAGCUGGUUUCAGCAGAAACCUUCCAACAUUCAAGUUAGAAAUUAGAAACAGAUGAAAAAAAGUGAGUGCUUAUAGUUAUUCAUACCUUUGAAGCCCCUUGUUUGCCUCUACUUAUAAGCCAAGAUCAAAAUUAUCGA
RNAcentral lists this long non-coding RNA (234 nucleotides) under Elaeis guineensis (African oil palm). RNAcentral's name for it is "long non-coding RNA (EGUI_LNC025778)". Lineage: Eukaryota; Viridiplantae; Streptophyta; Magnoliopsida; Arecales; Arecaceae. The record is from RNAcentral.